ACAGGGCAGAAUGAACCAAUGUUACAGUACCAUGGAAUCUGGUCUCAGCUCUUCCUCCACCCUUCUCUCAGACCAUGGAGGGCAGUUUGUUGGGUGUGGUGACACAGAAUCUAUCUGUGAGGACUGCAAACGACCCAUUUUCCUAACACCAUUAAACUGAAGAAUGAUGGAAAUGGGGGUGAAUGGGCCCAACCUAAAGCCCUAAGGUGGCUGAGUGAUUAGUAAGUCAGGGCAAAUUUGGAGCCGAUCCUGUGAAGGAAACCACCUCACCCCCGCACUUCAUGGAAUGGUUUCUGGUUGAGCUUCUUGGCUCUUCAUCCACUUUUAAUAAUGACCAGAGCGUGUCUGAGCAGAGCUCGCUGCAUGUGCUAGGGUGCUUUAUAGGCACGGCCCCAGUUCAUUUUUACAACGGUCGGUUCACAAACCCCGGGCCAAUCCCAUUUCCAAUGUACUGCCGAGGCUCAGAGAAGUAGAGAGACUUGCCCAGGAGCAGACAAUCGACGAGUACCUCCUAAACCCACAUCUGUGCAGUUGAAGAGAAGCUCUGGACGGAAUGGAGAGAAGGCAUCAGGCUGGAGGAGAGAGGUCAUAUGUAUUCUGUAACAGCCCUUUGUUCCCUAAUCUAACACUGCCCAAUACUGGCAACUCUGCACUUGUUAUAGACUUGAAGCUAGGAUGCGCCAACAAGCUCAGUGCUUCUGCAAAGAGACAGCUAAAACAAAACCUUAAUACAUAAAAGAUAAGCAUAGCCCAGUUCAUUAAGUGGCUAGCUAAAGAAUGUGCCUGACAAUUGUCAGUUGUUUUCUCUUUUCCCAUCCCUCAUCUCUGGCUGCCAUGUCCCUUUGGGGUCCCUCAGUGACUCUCAGAUUGUUCCCAAGAGAGAACCUUCUAUGCCACCUGGAGGACACUUUACUGGGUGUUCUGAGAAGAAACCUUGGGAGGCUGAGAACUGAGGGAAGAAGGCUGCUAAGAAAGGCAGGUCACUGUCCGGAAGUCAAAGGUGAUGGAUGCCAGCAACCACUAUGCCUACCUAAGACAUUCAUCCCGUCCUUGAACUCCAGGCCCUUCUUGAUAACGAUCUUGGUUUCUUCAGGGGCCUCGUUCAUGGUUUCAUUCAACAUGGAGAUGACAGCCUUGGUUGUAUUGGCCUCCUCAGAUGGAGGUGCCACCAGAACUUUCUUUGUCACUGUUUGAAUCUAAUGGAACAGGAAGAAAAAAAGAAUAAAGAUGAAAGUUAGUCUAAAAGGUCAACAGCAACCCAGCCAGCCAGCCAGCCAUACACUUGAACCUUCCCAAGAUGUUAACUAAAACUGGGAAAUAUUUUAUGA
RNAcentral lists this long non-coding RNA (1328 nucleotides) under Mus pahari (shrew mouse). RNAcentral describes it as "lncRNA (MGP_PahariEiJ_G0003322.1)". Lineage: Eukaryota; Metazoa; Chordata; Mammalia; Rodentia; Muridae. The record is from RNAcentral.